Molecule: ribosomal RNA, 492 nt
Filed under: uncultured bacterium
Lineage: Bacteria
Description: partial 16S ribosomal RNA
Rfam family: Bacterial small subunit ribosomal RNA
Source: RNAcentral
AGUGAACGCUGGCGGUAGGCCUAACACAUGCAAGUCGAACGGCAGCACAGUAAGAGCUUGCUCUUACGGGUGGCGAGUGGCGGACGGGUGAGGAAUACAUCGGAUUCUACUUUUUCGUGGGGGAUAACGUAGGGAAACUUACGCUAAUACCUCAUACGACCUACGGGUGAAAGCAGGGGAUCUUCGUACCUUGCCCGUUUUAAUGAGCCGAUGUCGGAUUAGCUAGUUGGCGGGGUAAAGGCCCACCAAGGCGACGAUCCGUAGCUGGUCUGAGAGGAUGAUCAGCCACACUGGAACUGAGACACGGUCCAGACUCCUACGGGAGGCAGCAGUGGGGAAUAUUGGACAAUGGGCGCAAGCCUGAUCCAGCCAUACCGCGUGGGUGAAGAAGGCCUUCGGGUUGUAAAGCCCUUUUGUUGGGAAAGAAAAGCAGCAGGUUAAUACCCCGCUGUUCUGACGGUACCCAAAGAAUAAGCACCGGCUAACUUCGUG